This 789-nucleotide ribosomal RNA is filed under the name Pristimantis albujai. RNAcentral's name for it is "partial large subunit ribosomal RNA". It matches the Rfam family "Bacterial large subunit ribosomal RNA", at positions 1543 to 2566 of the family's 2925-position model. Lineage: Eukaryota; Metazoa; Chordata; Amphibia; Anura; Strabomantidae. The record is from RNAcentral.
CUGACCCCUUUAACUGUACUGAGAACUUCUAUAAACCUAUAGAACCUUUUCUGCUAAAACUAGUAACAAGAGGUCCCCCUCUCCUUAAUGCAAGCACAACCCAGCAAGAACCAAUCACUGGCAACUAGCAGACAAUAAAUGUAGCAACUUCGCUAGAAAACCCUACUUCCAUCUCUGUUAACCUAACACUAGAGCAUUUCAAGAAAGAUUAAAAGAAAGAGAAGGAAUUCAGCAAAUAUAGCCUCGCCUGUUUACCAAAAACAUCGCCUCUUGCCCCCUAUAAGAGGUCCAGCCUGCCCAGUGACUCUGUUCAACGGCCGCGGUAUCCUAACCGUGCAAAGGUAGCGUAAUCACUUGUCUUCUAAAUAAAGACCAGUAUGAAAGGCACCACGAGGGCUAAACUGUCUCCUCUCUCUAAUCAGUGAACCUAAUCCCCCCGUGAAGAAGCGGGGAUUCCAAUAUAAGACGAGAAGACCCUAUGGAGCUUCAAACAUCAUAACACCUGCUAACUUUAAAUUACCCCGAUACUCACACAAUAGCACGCUGAUUAUAAGUUUUUGGUUGGGGUGACCGCGGAGAAAAACUAAUCCCCCGCAAUGAAAGGGACUUCCCUAAACUAUAAGCUAACAGCUUUACGUAUAAACAAAUUAACAUCAUUGACCCAAUAUUUGACCAACGAACCAAGUUACCCUAGGGAUAACAGCGCAAUCCACUUUGAGAGCUCCUAUCGACAAGUGGGCUUACGACCUCGAUGUUGGAUCGGGGUAUCCUAGUGGUGCAGCCGCUACU